Molecule: long non-coding RNA, 1515 nt
Organism: Anguilla anguilla (European eel)
Lineage: Eukaryota; Metazoa; Chordata; Actinopteri; Anguilliformes; Anguillidae
Exons: 3
Source: RefSeq, a predicted model, not a curated record
UGCCCCCAGGCUUCGUCCCACGUCCACAGGCGACGAUAGAGCCCACGGGCCGUUGGGGCGACCGAGAGGAGACGUUCCCGACGAGGCCCCCCGAAAACGAAAUCUGAGCGCGGACGGAGGUGGGAUCCAGUGUCUGCUGACUCAGGGCACGUGAGCACUUGCAACUGAAGGGAUUUAACCAAGGAGCAGACUGCAGAACUGACUAAACACACAGAAACGUUGCAGCACUGUGGGAAGCGUCUCAGAAACCCAAUUAAAUUCCAGUCAUACUUCCAUAAGGGCAAAGAUAAUGAUUCCAGCUCGACGUCACAGAACUUUCAAAGGGGCGCGUGCAAACAAGGGAGCUCCGUCCCUCGGACCACCGCGAAACGAGACGAAAUUUGAACGGCGCGGACUUCAAACGUUUCCGGUCUGAGGGAUGGAGAGGGGCCGGUCUGACGCAAGCAGCAAUGCAUCGCCAUUUUUAUCUUUAUGUUCGUAAACAACUGUGUUCUUUUCACAGCCAAAAGGGCACAGAUGUCGCUUUCCAAUAGCGAGGAUACGUUAUUAGCAAUAAAGCAAAUCCUAAUGAAACCAUCUUUCACAAUACAUGUCACAAUUACAAUUACAGACUUAUUGUAUAAAAAUGAAAAAAAGCAAUCUGAGCUUCCACUGGUGCUUCAAACUGGGUGAAAAAAGUGGGGUUUUUUUCUUUUGUUACGGGCUAUGGAUCUUGUACUUUUAUGGUUUUAUUGUGAUAAAAAAAAAAUAGGACUGCUUUCAAUAAGAAGUGGGUUGGUCUAUUGGACGAGCACCUGCAAACAAGUGACACCUUUUGUUCCCGGACUUUUAGCAAAACCAGAGAGUUGAGUUUGAGAAACACUCACCUCAGGGAAUAAGCGAUAGCCAUCGAACCAUUACAACUGCUCCAGAUGGGUCGAUUUACAGAGACUGUACAACACACCUUGUGAUUGAAAUUCUAGCAUAAUCCGUCACAAUGAGACAGCUCCAUUCACACUCGGGCCGGAACUCUCUCUGUCCCCAAUGGCUUGGUGUUUACCUCUAGGGUUCGGGGUGGUCAUUUUCGCAGAUGUAAAAAUGGGAGCUUGCGCUGCAUUUAGAACGUUUGCGCGGUCGAAUUCAGCGGGGAACGGAACAGAAUAUUGGCAACCGUCGAGCGCUUCGCGAGCGUUCGUCGUGUUUGCCGGGCUGUCGAACGACCGACCCGCUCUUUUGCCGGGGCAUAAUUUAUUAGCAUUUUGUCACGCCCUGGUGAAAAGGUAGGCUGAUGUAACCUUGCCUGAACCUUCGGGAGCUGAGGGAGAAAAGAAAAAAAGAAAAGAAAAAAAAAAAACGUGAUUUACCGCCAGCCCUCGCUAUUUUACCUCGGUCCGGCGUUUAUUCCUUGUCGGCGGGUGAAUGGAAUGAGCGAUGACAAUGCCAGUGAAUGGGAGACCUGGUCCGUUGGAAGUGAAAGGCACCGCAGCAGGUCCAGGGGACGACAAUAACCAGGUUCUCCCUCUCCUGGUCUUCACA